UGGUAAGUUAAAGGUCGUAAUCCAGGUUUUCCGUAGGGUGAACCCUGCGGUAAGGGAUUCAUUA
RNAcentral lists this ribosomal RNA (64 nucleotides) under Inocybe calida. Its description in RNAcentral is "partial 18S ribosomal RNA". The record is from RNAcentral. Lineage: Eukaryota; Fungi; Basidiomycota; Agaricomycetes; Agaricales; Inocybaceae.